GACGAACGCUGGCGGCGUGCUUAACACAUGCAAGUCGAACGGUAAGGCCCCUUCGGGGGUACACGAGUGGCGAACGGGUGAGUAACACGUGGGUGACCUGCCCUGUACUUCGGGAUAAGCCUGGGAAACUGGGUCUAAUACCGGAUAUUCACUUCCUGCUGCAUGGUGGGUGGUGGAAAGUUUUUUCGGCUGGGGAUGGGCCCGCGGCCUAUCAGCUUGUUGGUGGGGUGAUGGCCUACCAAGGCGACGACGGGUAGCCGGCCUGAGAGGGCGACCGGCCACACUGGGACUGAGACACGGCCCAGACUCCUACGGGAGGCAGCAGUGGGGAAUAUUGCGCAAUGGGCGGAAGCCUGACGCAGCGACGCCGCGUGGGGGAUGACGGCCUUCGGGUUGUAAACCUCUUUCGACCGGGACGAAGAGCGAUUGACGGUACCGGUAGAAGAAGCACCGGCCAACUACGUGCCAGCCGCCGCAGUAACAC
RNAcentral lists this ribosomal RNA (484 nucleotides) under uncultured Pseudonocardia sp. RNAcentral's name for it is "bacterial SSU rRNA". It matches the Rfam family "Bacterial small subunit ribosomal RNA", at positions 28 to 526 of the family's 1533-position model. The record is from RNAcentral. Lineage: Bacteria; Bacillati; Actinomycetota; Actinomycetes; Pseudonocardiales; Pseudonocardiaceae.